UACGUAGGGGGCAAGCGUUAUCCGGAUUUACUGGGUGUAAAGGGAGCGUAGACGGUAGUGCAAGUCUGGAGUGAAAGGCGGGGGCCCAACCCCCGGACUGCUCUGGAAACUGUGCGACUAGAGUGCAGGAGAGGUAAGUGGAAUUCCUAGUGUAGCGGUGAAAUGCGUAGAUAUUAGGAGGAACACCAGUGGCGAAGGCGGCUUACUGGACGGCAACUGACGCUGAGGCUCGAAAGCGUGGGGAGCAAACAGG
RNAcentral lists this ribosomal RNA (253 nucleotides) under uncultured bacterium. Its description in RNAcentral is "partial 16S ribosomal RNA". It matches the Rfam family "Bacterial small subunit ribosomal RNA", at positions 524 to 776 of the family's 1533-position model. The record is from RNAcentral.